GACGAACGCUGGCGGCGUGCUUAACACAUGCAAGUCGAACGGAAAGGCCCUGAUUUUGUGGGGUGCUCGAGUGGCGAACGGGUGCGUAACACGUGAGUAACCUGCCCUUGACUUUGGGAUAACUUCAGGAAACUGGGGCUAAUACCGGAUAGGAGCUCCUGCUGCAUGGUGGGGGUUGGAAAGUUUCGGCGGGUGGGGAUGGACUCGCGGCUUAUGAGCUUGUUGGUGGGGUAGUGGCUUACCAAGGCUUUGACGGGUAGCCGGCCUGUGAGGGUGACCGGCCACAUGGGGCCUGAGAUACGGCCCAGACGCCUACGGGAGACAGCAGUGGGGAAUAUGGCACAAUGGGCGGAAGCCUGAUGCAGCAGCGCCGCGGGCGGGAUGACGGCCUUCUGGUUGUAAACCGCUUUCGCCUGUGACGAAGCGUGAGUGACGGUAAUGGGUAAAGAAGCACCGGCUAACUACGUG
RNAcentral lists this ribosomal RNA (468 nucleotides) under uncultured bacterium. RNAcentral describes it as "partial 16S ribosomal RNA". It matches the Rfam family "Bacterial small subunit ribosomal RNA", at positions 28 to 507 of the family's 1533-position model. The record is from RNAcentral.